GUGGUGGCCUUACUCAGCAAGACCUGGGCCUGCUGGGGUUCACCCGAUCGCAGUCAUCGCGAUGGGGCCACGUGGUAAAACAGCGCCCCACGCUUGUCAAUGGGGUGGCCGCGAUGUCCAGUUUCCCAGUUUGAGCCCGCUGUCCUCAGAUUCUUGGAGACACCAGCUAUAGACAGAAACCCCCAAAGGCAGGAGCAGAUUUGUUUCCACGUCUCAUCUGUGGUUUACAAACAAGUUGGGAGAGACUUUGGUGCACAGCUACAGACUGAGCCGGUUUACUGCACAUUAUAAAUGGAAAUCUUUAUUUUUUUUUUUUCUCUCUGUUUUUAAGAAAUCCUGUUGCAAGGUCAUUAAUCACAUUAUCCAUUAUACCAGAAACAAAUGGAUUUGUCACUUGUUCGCAGAAGCUGAGGCCGCUUCUGGAAACAAAUUGUAUCAAAAUAAAUGAAAUUAUUAUGAUAAUAUAAAAUAGACGGCAGUGAUUAAUCUCCAGAAACCAAAUUUUGACCUGCUUUGCACUUCAAACAAUAGCUUCUGUUAUGUAAAUAGUUGUGGGGUUUUCAAGGACAGUGUUGCUAAAUUACAAGAAAAGUUCUUUUCAUGAAAAAUCUCUUCAUGGGUAAACAGUAGAGACAGGAAAUCUGAUCUACACAACAGCCAAAGCAGAGGACAGUGAAAGUUAUGAUGGUUCAGACGGAUGCCUGAGAACCUUCCAGUGCCGAUAAAAGGAAAGUCUUUCCGGCCACAAGACUUCUCUAUUAAUUAAGUCCACAAAGCAAGUUCCUUGUCCGACUAUUUUUUUCAUGAUAAUUGCUGCAGCGUCUGGCUCUGACAGAAAGGAACCACAGCUCAGUGUCAGAAAUAGUUGUGGUUCCAAGGUCCUAAUGACACAGGGAUGGCAGCCUUCGCGGAGAAAAAAAGACAAACGUCAAUUAGCACAGACUUUUGAACGCGAGCCAGAAAUGUCUCAAAGCAAAGGCCAGUCGCCAUGGAUCAAAGGUCCCCCCUUUGUAUAUAUACACGCACACCUUUUUCUUUUGUUUUCUCUUCUCUUAAAUUAGC
This 1062-nucleotide long non-coding RNA is filed under the name Equus caballus (horse). Its description in RNAcentral is "lncRNA (ENSECAG00000053178.1)". The record is from RNAcentral. Lineage: Eukaryota; Metazoa; Chordata; Mammalia; Perissodactyla; Equidae.